AACGCACGAGACCUGCGGACCUGCGGAGGGAUCAUUAAAAGAGUCCUUGACGCUCAGACCCUACCGCGAACCUGAGGCCGUUGCUUCGGCGGGCCGGCCCCCCGGCCUGGGGGGCCGCCCGCCGGAGGUCUCCCGUAGGACGCUCUUGCGGCGGCUCGGCCGCCGGACCCUGCCCUCUGAAUCACGCUUCCGAACCAGUCAAAACUUUUAGCAAUGGAUCUCUAGAUCGGAAGAGCACAC
Molecule: unclassified non-coding RNA, 240 nt
Filed under: soil metagenome
Description: partial contains 5.8S ribosomal RNA, internal transcribed spacer 2, and large subunit ribosomal RNA
Source: RNAcentral